Molecule: transfer RNA, 75 nt
Filed under: subsurface metagenome
Description: tRNA-Pro
Source: RNAcentral
CGGGGCAUGGUGUAAUUAGAUAACAUUUGCGCAUGGGGUGCGUAAGAUUCCGAGUGCAAAUCUCGGUGCCCCGAC